GGAAUAUUGCACAAUGGGGGAAACCCUGAUGCAGCGACGCCGCGUGAGUGAUGAAGUAUUUCGGUAUGUAAAGCUCUAUCAGCAGGGAAGAUAAUGACGGUACCUGACUAAGAAGCACCGGCUAAAUACGUGCCAGCAGCCGCGGUAAUACGUAUGGUGCAAGCGUUAUCCGGAUUUACUGGGUGUAAAGGGUGCGUAGGUGGCAAGGCAAGUCUGAAGUGAAAAUCCGGGGCUCAACCCCGGAACUGCUUUGGAAACUGUUUAGCUGGAGUACAGGAGAGGUAAGUGGAAUUCCUAGUGUAGCGGUGAAAUGCGUAGAUAUUAGGAGGAACACCAGUGGCGAAGGCGACUUACUGGACUGCUACUGACACUGAGGCACGAAAGCGUGGGGAGCAAACAGGAUUAGAUACCCUGGUAGUCCACGCCGUAAACGAUGAACACUAGGUGUUGGGUUCCAAAGGAACUCGGUGCCGUCGCAAACGCAUUAAGUAUUCCACCUGGGGAGUACGUUCGCAAGAAUGCAACUCAAAUGAAUUGACGGA
Molecule: ribosomal RNA, 542 nt
Filed under: uncultured organism
Description: bacterial SSU rRNA
Rfam family: Bacterial small subunit ribosomal RNA
Source: RNAcentral